RNAcentral lists this ribosomal RNA (292 nucleotides) under uncultured bacterium. RNAcentral's name for it is "partial 16S ribosomal RNA". The record is from RNAcentral.
GGACUACCCGGGUAUCUAAUCCUGUUUGCUCCCCAUGCUUUCGUGCCUCAGCGUCAGUAUGAGUCCAGGAAGCCGCCUUCGCCACUGAUGUUCUUUCCGAUAUCUACGCAUUUCACCGCUACACCGGAAAUUCCACUUCCCUCUACUCUACUCUAGUCAACCAGUAUUAAAUGCAAUUCCCAGGUUAAGCCCGGGGAUUUCACAUCUAACUUAAUCUACCGCCUACGCACCCUUUACGCCCAGUAAUUCCGAUUAACGCUCGCACCCUCUGUAUUACCGCGGCUGCUGGCAC